This 452-nucleotide ribosomal RNA is filed under the name uncultured bacterium. RNAcentral's name for it is "bacterial SSU rRNA". It matches the Rfam family "Bacterial small subunit ribosomal RNA", at positions 28 to 521 of the family's 1533-position model. The record is from RNAcentral.
GACGAACGCUGGCGGUGUGCCUCACACAUGCAAGUCGAACGGGGUAGCAAUACCUAGUGGCGGACGGGUGAGUAACACGUGGGAAUCUGCCCUAAGGUGGGGAUAACUGACCGAAAGGUUAGCUAAUACCCCAUAUGUCGAAAGAUGAAAGGAGUAAUCCGCCUUUGGAUGAGCCCGCGUCCGAUUAGCUAGUUGGUGGGGUAAAGGCCUACCAAGGCAACGAUCGGUAGCUGGUCUGAGAGGAUGAUCAGCCACAAUGGAACUGAGACACGGUCCAUACUCCUACGGGAGGCAGCAGUGGGGAAUUUUGUGCAAUGGGGGAAACCCUGACACAGCGACACCGCGUGAGUGAAGAAGCCUUUUGGGGUGUAAAAACUCUGUCGGCAGGGACGAAAAAAAAUGACGGUACCUGCAGAGGAAGCAUCGGCUAACUACGUGCCAGCAGCCGCGGU